AUGUUCAUCUCGAAGAAAUCAUCGCGUGAGGUACAGUGGCACAAGCUGAAGCGGCAACCUGUGGACAAUGAGCUGAGCCAUCCAGCGGACGGAGAGGCAUGGAAAGAGUUUGACCGUAUACUUUUAGAUUUUGCUGCAGCUCCAAGGAACAUAAAACUUGGCAUUGCCACAGAUGGGUUUAAUCCGUUUGGUAACAUGAGCACGUCUUAUAGCAUGUGGCCAGUUUUUGUGGUGCCGUACAACCUGCCACCAUGGGCGUGCAUGGAUCAGUCCAACUUCAUGAUGUCAUUGCUUAUCCCGGGUCCAGAGUCUCCAGGAAAGGAUUCUGAUGUCUUUAUGGAGCCCCUCAUAGAAGAACUGCUCCAUCUCUGGACUGGUGUACCUACAUACAAUGCCUUGAGUCCAGAAGAAAAGUUCAAUCUACGUGCUGCAAUCAUAUGGUCCAUCCAUGAUUUCCCGGCUCUACACACUCUGUCUGGGAGGAUCACAGCGGGUUAUAAGGCCUGUGUCCAUUGUGACAAAGACCCUUGCUCAAAGAGAAUGAGCAAGAUCUGCUAUAUUGGGCACCACCGCUUUCUUCCCCGAAACCAUCGCUGGCGAAGAAGCAAAGUUUUUAAUGGUGAGAAUGAAACCCGUGACAAGCCAGCUGAAUUCACUAAAGAAGAGCUGGAGCAGCAACUUGAAAAGGUGAAAGAUGUGAGACCAGGAAAGCUUGCGAAGAAAAGAAAGCGUGAGGAAGGUCAAUGUUGGGACCGGAGGUCUUGUUUGUGGGACCUGCCAUACCGGGCUGAUCUGAAAUUAAGGCAUAAUAUCGGUGUAAUGCACAUUGAGAAAAACAUAUGCGAGAAUCUGCUAGGGACAUUUCUAAACAUUGAAGGGAAGACAAAGGACACGGUUAGUUCUAGGCUUGAUUUGGAGGACAUGGGCAUAAGAGAAGAUUUGCAUCUACAACACAAUGAAGAUGAAGAUUCAUUUGAAAUGCCACGAGCAUGGUAUACAAUGAGUAAAGAACAAAAGCUUGCAUUCUGUGAAUUCCUAAGAGCGGUGAAAUUUCCAGAUGGUUAUGCUGCUAACCUAGCAAAGUGUGUUACUUCUGAUGGAUUCAAGAUUUCAGUACUGAAAACCCAUGGUUGUCACAUCCUCCUCCAAAGUAUUUUACCGACGGGCCUCCGAGGAAUCAUGGACAAGGAUAUAUAUGAAGCGGUUGCUGAGCUGGGAAAUUUCUUUAGAGAACUGUGCUGCAAAACACUCAAGUUAACUGUCCUGGAAAGACUUGAAAAAUAA
RNAcentral lists this ribosomal RNA (1284 nucleotides) under Triticum aestivum (bread wheat). RNAcentral's name for it is "partial small subunit ribosomal RNA". Lineage: Eukaryota; Viridiplantae; Streptophyta; Magnoliopsida; Poales; Poaceae. The record is from RNAcentral.